This 228-nucleotide ribosomal RNA is filed under the name uncultured bacterium. Its description in RNAcentral is "partial 16S ribosomal RNA". It matches the Rfam family "Bacterial small subunit ribosomal RNA", at positions 118 to 347 of the family's 1533-position model. The record is from RNAcentral.
UGGGCAACCUGCCCUCAGCUCUGGGAUAACUCCAAGAAAUUGGGGCUAAUACCGGAUAUGACCGCUGACCGCAUGGUCUGGUGGUGGAAAGUUUUUCGGCUAAGGAUGGGCUCGCGGCCUAUCAGCUUGUUGGUGGGGUAAUGGCCUACCAAGGCGACGACGGGUAGCCGGCCUGAGAGGGUGACCGGCCACACUGGGACUGAGACACGGCCCAGACUCCUACGGGAG